This 544-nucleotide long non-coding RNA is filed under the name Pongo abelii (Sumatran orangutan). RNAcentral describes it as "lincRNA". The record is from RNAcentral. Lineage: Eukaryota; Metazoa; Chordata; Mammalia; Primates; Hominidae.
GCAAAGCAGAAGCAGACAACUAGGCACAAAGCAACAGAGUUUUAAAGUUUUCUUCUCCUGCUACUACUUAGCAUGUCUUACAUGAGGAGUAUUUACCUUUGUUUAGCCAGGAGCAGAGAUGCAGCCUGAAUGUACACGAUGGCUUCUAACUUGGCAGCGUGAAUUUUCAGCUGAGCAGAGCCUAACAAAUAUCAUCAUGGAUGUGAUUUUUAAUGAUUUGGAAAAAAACAAAAAAAGACAGCCUGUGGAGACAGCGAUUCGAAACAGCGGCACAUUUAGGUUAUUGCCAAUUUGAAAUACUUGGUUUGUGAAGCUGAGCCCUAAGGGACAAGCUCGGUAACUGAGGAAGAGAUCGUAGAUAAAGAAAUAAAAAUGACAAGCGUAAUGGAGGCUCUGCGAAGGGACUGUCAGAGCAUCAGUUCAUGGAUGGCAAUUUCACCAGGCUGAGACUGAAUAAUUCAUAGAUUGAAAUUACCCUGCUUUCACCUUUCCAUUUAAGCCGGCAUGAUCUGAAUCUCUAAUAAAUUUUCAAGAUAAUGUAAAA